Molecule: ribosomal RNA, 2900 nt
Filed under: Klebsiella quasivariicola
Lineage: Bacteria; Pseudomonadati; Pseudomonadota; Gammaproteobacteria; Enterobacterales; Enterobacteriaceae
Description: 23S ribosomal RNA
Rfam family: Bacterial large subunit ribosomal RNA
Source: RNAcentral
UUAAGCGACUAAGCGUACACGGUGGAUGCCCUGGCAGUCAGAGGCGAUGAAGGACGUGCUAAUCUGCGAAAAGCGUCGGUAAGGUGAUAUGAACCGUUACAGCCGGCGAUGUCCGAAUGGGGAAACCCAGUGUGAUUCGUCACACUAUCGUUAACUGAAUACAUAGGUUAACGAGGCGAACCGGGGGAACUGAAACAUCUAAGUACCCCGAGGAAAAGAAAUCAACCGAGAUUCCCCCAGUAGCGGCGAGCGAACGGGGAGCAGCCCAGAGUCUGAAUCAGCUUGUGUGUUAGUGGAACGGUCUGGAAAGUCCGACGGUACAGGGUGAUAGUCCCGUACACCAAAAUGCACAGGUUGUGAACUCGAAGAGUAGGGCGGGACACGUGGUAUCCUGUCUGAAUAUGGGGGGACCAUCCUCCAAGGCUAAAUACUCCUGACUGACCGAUAGUGAACCAGUACCGUGAGGGAAAGGCGAAAAGAACCCCGGCGAGGGGAGUGAAAAAGAACCUGAAACCGUGUACGUACAAGCAGUGGGAGCCUCUUUAUGGGGUGACUGCGUACCUUUUGUAUAAUGGGUCAGCGACUUAUAUUCUGUAGCAAGGUUAACCGUAUAGGGGAGCCGCAGGGAAACCGAGUCUUAACUGGGCGUUAAGUUGCAGGGUAUAGACCCGAAACCCGGUGAUCUAGCCAUGGGCAGGUUGAAGGUUGGGUAACACUAACUGGAGGACCGAACCGACUAAUGUUGAAAAAUUAGCGGAUGACUUGUGGCUGGGGGUGAAAGGCCAAUCAAACCGGGAGAUAGCUGGUUCUCCCCGAAAGCUAUUUAGGUAGCGCCUCGUGAACUCAUCUUCGGGGGUAGAGCACUGUUUCGGCUAGGGGGUCAUCCCGACUUACCAACCCGAUGCAAACUACGAAUACCGAAGAAUGUUAUCACGGGAGACACACGGCGGGUGCUAACGUCCGUCGUGAAGAGGGAAACAACCCAGACCGCCAGCUAAGGUCCCAAAGUCAUGGUUAAGUGGGAAACGAUGUGGGAAGGCCCAGACAGCCAGGAUGUUGGCUUAGAAGCAGCCAUCAUUUAAAGAAAGCGUAAUAGCUCACUGGUCGAGUCGGCCUGCGCGGAAGAUGUAACGGGGCUAAACCAUGCACCGAAGCUGCGGCAGCGACACUAUGUGUUGUUGGGUAGGGGAGCGUUCUGUAAGCCUGUGAAGGUGGCCUGUGAGGGCUGCUGGAGGUAUCAGAAGUGCGAAUGCUGACAUAAGUAACGAUAAAGCGGGUGAAAAGCCCGCUCGCCGGAAGACCAAGGGUUCCUGUCCAACGUUAAUCGGGGCAGGGUGAGUCGACCCCUAAGGCGAGGCCGAAAGGCGUAGUCGAUGGGAAACAGGUUAAUAUUCCUGUACUUGGUGUUACUGCGAAGGGGGGACGGAGAAGGCUAUGUCAUCCGGGCGACGGUUGUCCCGGUUUAAGCAUGUAGGCUGGUUAUCCAGGCAAAUCCGGAUAAUCAAGGCUGAGGUGUGAUGACGAGGUACCACGGUACUGAAGUGACAGAUGCCCUGCUUCCAGGAAAAGCCUCUAAGCAUCAGGUAACAUCAAAUCGUACCCCAAACCGACACAGGUGGUCAGGUAGAGAAUACCAAGGCGCUUGAGAGAACUCGGGUGAAGGAACUAGGCAAAAUGGUGCCGUAACUUCGGGAGAAGGCACGCUGGUGUGUAGGUGAAGUCCCUGCGGACGGAGCUGAGACCAGUCGAAGAUACCAGCUGGCUGCAACUGUUUAUUAAAAACACAGCACUGUGCAAACACGAAAGUGGACGUAUACGGUGUGACGCCUGCCCGGUGCCGGAAGGUUAAUUGAUGGGGUUAUCCGUAAGGAGAAGCUCUUGAUCGAAGCCCCGGUAAACGGCGGCCGUAACUAUAACGGUCCUAAGGUAGCGAAAUUCCUUGUCGGGUAAGUUCCGACCUGCACGAAUGGCGUAAUGAUGGCCAGGCUGUCUCCACCCGAGACUCAGUGAAAUUGAACUCGCUGUGAAGAUGCAGUGUACCCGCGGCAAGACGGAAAGACCCCGUGAACCUUUACUAUAGCUUGACACUGAACAUUGAGCCUUGAUGUGUAGGAUAGGUGGGAGGCUUUGAAGCGUGGACGCCAGUCUGCGUGGAGCCAACCUUGAAAUACCACCCUUUAAUGUUUGAUGUUCUAACGUUGGCCCCUUAUCGGGGUUGCGGACAGUGUCUGGUGGGUAGUUUGACUGGGGCGGUCUCCUCCCAAAGCGUAACGGAGGAGCACGAAGGUUAGCUAAUCCUGGUCGGACAUCAGGAGGUUAGUGCAAUGGCAUAAGCUAGCUUGACUGCGAGCGUGACGGCGCGAGCAGGUGCGAAAGCAGGUCAUAGUGAUCCGGUGGUUCUGAAUGGAAGGGCCAUCGCUCAACGGAUAAAAGGUACUCCGGGGAUAACAGGCUGAUACCGCCCAAGAGUUCAUAUCGACGGCGGUGUUUGGCACCUCGAUGUCGGCUCAUCACAUCCUGGGGCUGAAGUAGGUCCCAAGGGUAUGGCUGUUCGCCAUUUAAAGUGGUACGCGAGCUGGGUUUAGAACGUCGUGAGACAGUUCGGUCCCUAUCUGCCGUGGGCGCUGGAGAAUUGAGGGGGGCUGCUCCUAGUACGAGAGGACCGGAGUGGACGCAUCACUGGUGUUCGGGUUGUCAUGCCAAUGGCACUGCCCGGUAGCUAAAUGCGGAAGAGAUAAGUGCUGAAAGCAUCUAAGCACGAAACUUGCCCCGAGAUGAGUUCUCCCUGAGACUAUAAGUCUCCUGAAGGAACGUUGAAGACGACGACGUUGAUAGGCCGGGUGUGUAAGCGCAGCGAUGCGUUGAGCUAACCGGUACUAAUGAACCGUGAGGCUUAACCU